AGAUUGAACGCUGGCGGCAGGCCUAACACAUGCAAGUCGAGCGGUAGAGAGGUGCUUGCAUCUCUUGAGAGCGGCGGACGGGUGAGUAAUGCCUAGGAAUCUGCCUAGUGGUGGGGGAUAACGUUCGGAAACGGACGCUAAUACCGCAUACGUCCUACGGGAGAAAGCGGGGGACCUUCGGGCCUCGCGCCAUUAGAUGAGCCUAGGUCGGAUUAGCUAGUUGGUGAGGUAGUGGCUCACCAAGGCGACGAUCCGUAACUGGUCUGAGAGGAUGAUCAGUCACACUGGAACUGAGACACGGUCCAGACUCCUACGGGAGCAGCAGUGGGGAAUAUUGGACAAU
Molecule: ribosomal RNA, 343 nt
Filed under: uncultured soil bacterium
Lineage: Bacteria
Description: bacterial SSU rRNA
Rfam family: Bacterial small subunit ribosomal RNA
Source: RNAcentral